ACAAAAACCAUAAUCAAUCGUUAUCUAUCUCUCAUCUCAAACUCAAAGACAAAACAGAACUCACUCACUCACUCUCACUCUCACUCUCACUCUCGCGAUUCUCAUCUACACUGCAUGCACCCACUGAUCGACCUCAUCGCACACCUCACAGUCUCUCACUCUCUGGUUUUGCAUCUACACCGAUCGACUCUCUCUCAUCGCAAAAUCGGCCGAUCGACCGACUCUCGCAUCGCACCGAUCGACCUCACAGGUUUGGGACGUAUUGCUGGAAUUUUAUCUCUUGAAGUAGAGGAUGGGAAUACCACACUGGAUUCUCUCCAGCAUGUUGGGUCAGAACUAGCAAUGCAUGUAGUUGCUACUAAGCCAUUGUUUCUGAGAAAGGAUCUUGUGUCUUCAGAUGCAUUGGAGAAUGAACGUAAGAUUCUUAAGUCUCAGGUAUGGAUUCUGAAGGAGAUGAUUCGAUUUCACCAACAUUUCAUGCUAUGGAUUCUGAAGGAGCAGAUUCGAAUUCACCAACAUUUCAUGACAUCAAUGGAAUUGGCCUGUGUUCACCGAAAUCAAGUGAGUCAAAAAGGACGACGCAAUGGAAAAGACAGUACUAAACGAGGCAGGCGCAAAUGCUGGCCUCCUCGUCGCGCCUGCCUCUAGAGAAAUAUUAUUAAUAAAUGACUUAACCACAGAACAAUGAGGAAAAAUAUUAUUAACAAGUGGGCAUCAUUGAAAGCAAGCACAACUAGUUUGACAAAAUUAAAUAAUUACACUUGUAAUUUCUGUUCAUAUAACGCUACGCCUUGACUUGAAUUUUUUUGAAUGUCAACAAGCAAAAUUUGAAUUAUUUGACCUCCCCUCACAAAUAGUUGUGUACUGGGUAGAAGUUUAUUAUUUUUUCUACACAAUCUCUUUUUGUUUCGUUUUGUUUUGUUUUGUUUUUUUUUUUUUUCUAGUGGCAGAGAUAAAUGGUGGCUUGCUCGACCCGAUUGGGCCACUAGGAUUCGGUAUAGACCUUAAAUUUUACAAGUUUUUUUGGAUUAUGAGUUACUAGUUCUUAUGUUUUUGAAUAUGACAAGCAAAACUUGAAUUAUCCGACAUUGCUCAAAAAUAGUGGUUUACGGGAUAGAAACUGAUUUUUUUUUUGGACGCUGUCUUUUGUUUUUUUUCCAAUUGUAGGCGUAUAUACUGAUGUACUUGGCCCUCCGAUUGACGUAGCUGGUUGUCACGUACCGACUUAUUGAGGAUGUGAGUUCUAUAUCAAGCACCUUGCAUGCGCAUUAGUUUGUGAGCAGCAAGGCAGGUAGGGUAGAUCCCUAUCACUUCUCUUGGGUUGGUCCUUGGGCAUAAUGCACGAGGGUACGUUGUACCACUCGUGGAGCCAGCUUCUCGGGAGGAUGACAAGCGCCCAGUCCGUGACAAGUGAUAUUAGAGCCAACCUAGAGCCACUGUGAUAGGGACGGUACGUGGAACUUACACGAAGCGCCUUCAUUGUGGGGUUUGCGCCAAGGGUGGUGUUCGCACGGGACGGGUUUCGUGGGUAGGGGAACGGACAAGCGUGGAUGCAGGCAGGGUCAUGUCUCCCUGACGUGGGCGUCAGGACUGGCGGUGGUAGUGUGGCACGUACCCGACUCAUUAGAGAUGCGAGUUCUACACCAAGCACUUUGCAAGCGCAUUAGUUUGUGAGCAGCAAGGCAGGCAGGGUAGAUACCUAUCGCAUCUCCUGGGUUGGUCCUUGGACAUAAUGCACGGGGUACGCAGUACUACUUGUGGAGCCGACUUCUCUGGAGGAUGACAAGCGCCCAGUCCGUGACAACCAGCUCCAGUUAUUGUAAAAAAAGAUGUUAAAAAAAAUAUAUAAAUUUCCUAUCCAGUAAAGAACUUGUUUUGAGGAGAUGUCAAAUAAUUCAAGUUUGGUUUGAUAACAUUCAAAAAAUAUUUUUGUCGUUGCAUAAUCUUAUAAAAAAUGAGAUUAGAUGUGCAAUAAUAUGAUUUUGUCAAACCUGGUAUCUCCACUUGCUUCCGAUAAUGUCCAAUUCUUCAUAAUUUUUUUGCCAUUUUUUAUGAAGUAGAACUCCAGCUUAAUGAUCAAAACUUGUAAUCAAAUGACUAUAACUUAUUAAAUUUCAGCCAUUACCGAAUGCUGGUGGAUCAUUUGGUGCAUCGAGCAGGCCAAAAUCUACAGAUGCCAUUGGGAAAGGAAAAAAAGAAAAGAAAAUGAGAUAGCGUUGAAAAAAUAUUUAGUUUCUACUCAGUAGACAACUAUUUGUAAGGGGAGGUCAAAUAAUUCAAGUUUUGUUUCUUGACGUUCAAAAAAAUUCAUGUCAUUGCAUAACAUUACAUGAGAAGAAUUUAAGGCGGUGAAAUUAUUUAAUUUUGAGAUUCUUUGUAUCUCCAUUUCUUUUACAUAAUACCCUAUUCUUAAUAACAUUUUUCCUCAUUUUUGUAUGGUAAGUCAAUUAUUAAAAAUUAUAACUUCAACC
Molecule: non-coding RNA, 2471 nt
Organism: Camellia sinensis
Lineage: Eukaryota; Viridiplantae; Streptophyta; Magnoliopsida; Ericales; Theaceae
Source: RefSeq, a predicted model, not a curated record